RNAcentral lists this non-coding RNA (1285 nucleotides) under Pongo abelii (Sumatran orangutan). The record is from RNAcentral. Lineage: Eukaryota; Metazoa; Chordata; Mammalia; Primates; Hominidae.
GUGAGAAACUCAUUCCCCAGAGCAACAGUGUAGGGAGGUGGGACCCGAUGGGAGCCCCACCCUCACAGAUGGAUUCCUGUAGCUGUCAAGACAGCUUGGGCAUGGAUUCCUCUCUGCCUUCUGCCAUGUGGACACGUGGCCUUCCUCCCCCCUCCCCUCUCCCCUCUCUCCUCCGGGGAAUGCGGUGUUGGGGCGCCAUCUUGGAAGCAGAGAUCCGGCCUCACCAGACACCAAGCCUGCUGGUACCGUGACCCUGGACUCCCAGCCUCCACAGCUGGGAAAGACCUCUGCUCCCUGGAAAUUACCCAGGCUCAGGCACCCACUGACCCCAGCCUCGUGGACCACCAUUCACCAGGCUUGAGGGGAGGACCUCACGUCGCCCUGCUCCCUUCAGUGCCAGCCAGGAUGGGGCUAGGUGGGUGUGGCUGGUGAAAAGAAAUGCAGCCCCCCAGCCGCCCUCCGAGGCCCCCAGCCCCUACAGACCAAGCCGAACAGCCCAGCUCAUGGGCGGAUCACAGGGCACCCAGCAGCCGCCUUCCCUCCAGAAGAGCCAAGAAGGCUCCCAAGACCAGAAAUGCCCCCAGUGUGGCUGUGCCUGUCCCCGGUCCCCGCCGGCUGGGGGGCAGCAUGCCCAAACAGAUGCACCCUGCCCAUGAUGGCACCACACGGACCCCCAUCCUCAGGACCCUCCAGUCGUUCAAGCUGGAAUUGGCGGAUUUCUGCUUGUAUAGACAUCGACUUCAGAAUCUCAGGUGCUGCUUGGCAGGAAAAUGCACGGCAGGAGGGGCUGGGCCUCGGCUCGAGGCUCCCGGGCGCACCCCCCACUCUCCACUGCGGGGCUCAGGGUGGUCAAAAACAGCCACAACAACGACAAAAGCCAAAUUGGGAACGGAAUCAUGGAAAAAACCCUCACAGGCUUUUGGGAACUUACAAAGAAAUGCCCACAUCCAUUGGAUUAACAUGGCAUCUACUAACGUGGCAUCUGCUAGGACGCCGCAAAACAGACAACUCCUUCCAUGUAAGGCUGGACACGUGUCAGGGCUGUGGCUCUCAAAGCUGGGCCACAGGCAGCAUCCACGGCCAGGCCACUGGGUGGAGGAGACGGUGCUGGGGAGGAGCCGGAAGGAGGGGCCGGGGCUGUCCCCUGAGGCAGAAUGGCUCACCUGUGGUGUGUGCAGAGCAGGGCUGCAGGGACACAAGGUGCCCCCUUCAUUCAUCAGUUACUUGUAUUCUUUGUACGAAACGCUUCCCGAUAAAAUGUGAAAAAGGGGGCAUUUCCUAAAGU